RNAcentral lists this transfer RNA (25 nucleotides) under Tropheus sp. 867. RNAcentral describes it as "partial transfer RNA-Thr". The record is from RNAcentral. RNAcentral also lists the same sequence under 3 other names. Lineage: Eukaryota; Metazoa; Chordata; Actinopteri; Cichliformes; Cichlidae.
GGAUCCUAAUUUAGACUAUUGUUCG